UGGAUGAGACCUGAGUGCGAUUUCAACUUAUGGGAUUUUCAAAUGCUCUUCACUUUUCUAUGAUGCACUGCGUUUUCUGCAUAUUCUUUUAUGUGGAUUCUUACUGAGUUUGAUAACUACUUGAAAAUGCUUGGAGCAUUCUUUGCUUGAUUGAAAUGGAAUAAGUUAGAGCUCUUCCAUAGGGAGGGAUCUUCAGUUUUGUACAGGUUUAUGGGUAAUCUAAGGAAAUGAAUCAUACAUUCUUUUUCCUGAG
Molecule: unclassified non-coding RNA, 253 nt
Filed under: Hevea brasiliensis (rubber tree)
Lineage: Eukaryota; Viridiplantae; Streptophyta; Magnoliopsida; Malpighiales; Euphorbiaceae
Source: RNAcentral